CCCUUAGAUGCUCUGGGCCGCACGCGCGCUACACUGGUCGAUGCAACGAGUUUCUUUCCUUGGCCGACAGGCCUGGGCAAUCUUUGAACAUCGAUCGUGAUCGGGAUAGAUUCUUGUAAUUUUUGAUCUUAAACGAGGAAUUCCUAGUAAACGCAAGUCAUCAGCUUGCAUUGAUCACGUCCCUGCCCUUUGUACACACCGCCCGUCGCACCUACCGAUUGAAUGGUCCGGUGAAAUCUCCGGACUGGCGUGAGUCGGAGCAAUCUGACAAACGCCGGAAAGUUGAUUAAACCUUACCAUUUAGAGGAAGGAGAAGUCGUAACA
Molecule: ribosomal RNA, 324 nt
Filed under: uncultured eukaryote
Lineage: Eukaryota
Description: partial 18S ribosomal RNA
Rfam family: Eukaryotic small subunit ribosomal RNA
Source: RNAcentral